Passer domesticus (house sparrow) is the source of this 15649-nucleotide long non-coding RNA. RefSeq lists it as uncharacterized. The record is from RefSeq and is a predicted model, not a curated record. NCBI's taxonomy places the organism in Eukaryota, Metazoa, Chordata, Aves, Passeriformes, Passeridae. The transcript is spliced from 7 exons.
UCCUGGGGUGUUAAAGCAGCAAAGCAUGUGGAUGCUCUUACAGCAGCAAAAUUACGUUCUGUAGCUGUUCAUCACAGGAAAGUUACCACCCCUCCCUACCCCAGAGCGAAACAAGUUAUGCUAGUAAAGCCUCUUUAGCACACCUAUGUGGGUCAGGUAUCACAUCUCUCCGCCGCUCUCUUCCACGUAUUUAUGCAGGCAGAAGCCUAUAGCACAGACCUGCCUCUGGAACAGAUCCUGCUUGCAGCAGCCUGGUGAUUAUAGAGUUGGGCAGGCCAGCAUUUCCAGAUGCAACAACAUAUUUCACUUCCACAUAUGAAACGGCACUAUUAAAACCCCCUGAUCCACCCUUGCAUGACCCAUUUGCCUUUACUCUCUCCUGCAUCAGGAGGGUGGAGACAGAGACAAGCUGGCUCACCUUGUCAUCCCAAUAACAGCACCAGACAGGAAUUUCAGAGAGGGGAGAAAUUUCCCUCUAAGAGCCAGCACAUUUUUUUUGUAAUCUUAAAGAAAAUCAAGAGUACAGGAAUUUUUUGUCCCUUUUCCACUGCUGAAAUAUUCUCUCCCACCAUUCAGGAAUUGUUUUUUGUGUGUUGGCCUCUGAAAAGUUGACAGAUUUCUGUUGCAUCCCGGACUGAGCAGUGUGAGGUUGUUCUUGCCCAUGCUUAGGCAGCAGUUGACAGCACCUGUAUCUUACCUGCUGGAGCAGUUAAAAAUGCCACUGUUCCAAAUAAUUUUCAGGUCAGCAGUUAAAAAUCUAUCUUGACUAGGAUUAAAGAGACAAAACUACUUCCAUAAGUGGCAGUGUACUUUGGCAGCACUCUAUAGAAACCUCUAUGGGUUUAGAAGGUCUUGGUUGCCUUUCUAUAUUCAUUGCCAAGCAUCAUUAAAUACUUUCUGUCAAUCCUUGUAAGAGCUGCUGCACAGUUGCACUGACAGUCUAGCAAAAAUCACAUGUCAUGGAUGAAAGCAGAAUUUCUUUUGCCAGGCUGUAUCUAAAAAUGUACACAUAUUUCUUUCAAAACCACAUUGCUCAAUUGGAAGACUCCUUAUUUCCCUGCUGAAGACCUCAUUCAUUUGCAUUUGUGUUUGCAAAUGUUCCAACACAGCCUGGUUAAAGACAUUUGAUGGUAGCUAGUCCUUAGUCCUACCCCCAGCACUACAGGUGGAAGAUAACUAAUUUUAAAAUUUUGGUAAUGUAAAAAGUGUCUGUAAUCCAUGAAAAACUAAGUGCCAGAUUGUCUGCCAUAAUUUCCUUCAAAUUUCCUUCGGAGCUCAUAGAAUUAAAUAGAAAGAUCUUGCCUAUAGCAUUUCUAUAUUAAGUUUUUACCUUUUCCCCCCCCUAUUUCUGUAGCAGGGAGAUGGUUAUUAUAUCUAAGAAGAACUAGAAAUUAGGCUAUGAAAUUUUUUUGUAAGGUCUGUAGAUUUCUGAACACCUCAGAAUACAGAAUCAAAAUCAAAGUUUUGAAAAUACCUUUUGAGUUUGAGGUACCUUUUAAUACUCCUUCCUUUCUGUCAGGGGCACUUUAAUAACAAAAGGUUGAUUGUUGGGGGCGCAAGGCUGUGUGAAAAGGGCUGACAACUGCUCCUGUUCAAUAACCUCAUCUGAUAAAACCAUGCAGGGGGAGUAAUGGCACGAGGAGCUCACUAGAAGAAUGUGCAGCUGGUUUUUCUGGCUUUCCAAAAUCAGACUGUAAGUGGUGCCAGGCAGUCGCUGCCUCCUGAGUUCCCUCAGACCUUUGGUGUAGAUUCAGGACCUGCUUCUGCCUUUGCCUGUCAGCACUUCAGCCAGGCUGGAGCUGUGGAUGUGGCUGUGAGGGCUCUGGUUCUGGGGCAUGGCUGCUGCUGGAUGUGAGGAACUUCUGGUUCCUCUCCAGAAGUUACACUGCAGCUACAAAACUGCUUUGGGUUAUCCAAGGAAUGCACUGCUCAAAUUGCCGAAAACAGGGAAUUAGGAGCUUCCAUGUGGCACAAAACUGAAGUGAAAACCUGCACCAAUGGUCAUGGUAUUUUGCCCAAGGGACAGUAUUUAUUCCAUUCACACAGCAUGAUCCUGUUUUUAAUGAGUAGGCAGAGCACUUGGCAGGUAAAUGGUGUAGUCAUGGACAGUAUUAGCUACUGUGAAAUUGAAAUCUGUGCUUGUGUGUCCAAUACAAACAGUAAUGCACACACGGAGUCUAGUAUUCCCAGAGAAACCAGGGCUGACAUUUAACAGCCCCUGGGAAAAGUGGAGGAAAUUAAUACAGUGGGUAUGGGAGACAGAGGCUUGACACAGCAAGAAUAAAGAGGCAGAGAAGAGGUGGAUGACUGGAUGGUGAGUCAGUGAUAUUUUUGUUGAGUUUAUGCAUUUGUUUACUUUCUGGGUGUGAUAUCCAAAUUAAACAUUAGAUAUACCUAAAGAAUGGGUACAUAUACAUACUGUUGAGUGUUCUCAGCUACUGGGAUGCUCAUGGACACACAAACACCACAAGAAACAACACUAAAAGAAGCCUAUUAAGGGUUCAAGGUCAGUUGUUCAGAAUUAUGACAAUUGGAGCAAGCUUGUUGCUUGCUUUCUUUGUGCUUCUGCCUCAUAACCCAGUUUUUAAUUAUGCACUAACAGGUUUUUAAAUUUUUUUUUCUUCUGCAGGGCACCUGCCUCAGUCAGUGCACACAAUGGGCAGUGUAAGCUUUAAGAAGGUAGUAGUUUCUGAUUCAACAUACACCUUAUUUACUGUGUGUUGUUCAGCCCCAGCUCUGAAGGAGAAUUGUUGCUUAGGUUGCUGCCUGUGGAACUCAUCACCAUCACAUCUAGAUUGCUUCACAUUAUCUGUUUAUUUUUUAUCCCUCAGAUGUGUAUAAUUCCCACAAGGAAGAAGGUGGUAAAUCAGCAAAAGCCAAAAGCCAUGUGUCUAUUAUGGCAUCUUCCACUGAAAAUGUCAAGUUUUUUCAGAGAGCUUAGUGUUAUGCUUUUCAUGGAGUGUUCAAAGCAGAUUUCCAUUACAGAGGAAGGUUUCUCUUCCCCGUCACCUGCACUUCAAACCUGGGUCUCUGCAACACAUCCCUUACUUUUGCCAAUUCUUUUAACACAACUUUUACUGGAGUCAAGAUGGGCCAGUGGUCUCCUGAGGCUGAUGACACCCUGCUCUCUAAAAAUGAGCCAAGGAGCCAUCAGUUCCAUACAUUCUCUUUUUCCCCGAGCCUGUUUCUACAGUGCUGCCUGCCUGCCACGGAUGAGAUCUGAGGCUGUUCCCAAACCUGCUUCUCUCAUCCUCUUAAAUAUGUAACUUGGCUGCCAAGUCAUAGACAUGCACUUGGCAGCCGGCAAUAGCAACUGGAAACACAACAUACACAAUGCAAUUGUAUAAAAAAAGGGAACGAGAUGGCUGCAGAGAGCAGAGCCAGAGAGGAAUUUUCAGGCUGUUUUGAGAUCCUUGCUUACCUAUCCAUGGGCUGAUUCUGUUUGCAUGGCUAUGCCUGUAAAUAGUACCCAGAAGAGAAAAGAUGCAGUGUUUGAAAGGCUUUGGAAGUAAGGGAAGUUAGGGACAGGUUGCUUUAUGGAAAUUUUCUUUCCCCACAUUGUGUAGUCCAUUUGUUCUUCCACGUGGUCAUGAACACCAGUCCUUUCAGGACUAUCUUCCCUAGUUAGCAACUACUGCAAAAUUGAUUGAUGCCAUUUUUAAGAGGUGGAAGCACAGAAAAUGUUCCUUGUGUCUUACUGACCUGACCUGUCUAGAAGUCUUAGAUCAGGUAUUUUCAUCCUUUCAAAGUAUACAGUAGUGCAGCAACAUUUUCUUAGGUUGUAGCUGACCUGGUCUGUUGCAAGGUGUGAUCCUUCCCUUGUCCCCUUGUAUUUACCUGUAUCUCCACUGGCCCUUGUCUGACUCCACCAUGAACUGAUAUAAAAUGCUAACUCAACAGAAAGCUUCUCAUUUAUUUUUGCUGGAUGACUACUUUUGCUGUGGGGUCAAAGAUAAAGAAUCAUCACACAGGUAAACGAUGGGAAAAUUUUGAUGGGAUCAAGAAUGCUUCUCCAUUAACAACUGGCUCUUAGGCUGGUUUAGCUGUAAUGUGAACCCUUGAUGGAGACUUGAUUUCUAUUGGCAAAAAGUGCUUUUGUCAGCAUAACUUGUACCAAUUUUGGGUGUGAACUAAGCAAUACCAGUUAUAUACAACACUGACCCACUGUGAAUGAUGUGUGAGAGAUUCUUUGCUUGAAAAACCAAAUGUUUCACGAUAUCCCAAAGAUUCUAAACCUCAAAAUCAUGCCCUAAAGUGACCUGCCUUAGUAUAUGGGAAUUAUUUCCAGGUGCAGCUUCCAAAUCUUGAGCUGACUGCUCACAUAAGGACCUAGGUUGUGCCACAUAUUUGUGACCUGAUAUAGUUUGAAAUCUUGUAAAGGCGAAAGCUAAAGUGUGUUUAACAUUCAGAGUGCUGUCACUGCCCAUAACAGAAGGACCGGCUGCCCUGACUGCUGCCAGUCCUGGGAAAACCAGGAAAAUUUCUGCAGCCCCUGACCAUCAAUGCCACAAUGAGCAUAAAUAAGUGGCUGUGGAGAUGUUAUCAAAUGGAAAAAACUCAUUUCCCUGUUUGGACUAAAAUGCUGCCCAGGGAAGCUGCUUGGCAGAGCUGGGAGGAGCAGAGUGCAUUGGCCAUGAGUCCUGGUGCCCAGAGCAGGCUGCAGGGGAGGAGGGUACAUGCUGGGAUCUGCAGCUCCUAGGGGACAGCAGAUGGUCACUGCCAUAAGCAGUGUCACCCCUUCACUCCUGUCGGUGUCCUGGCAGCACUGAGCCAUCUGUGAGCCUCCCCAUCCUGCUGCUGCUGUUCAUGUUUGCCUCUGCAGCAGACCCAGGGGCCACAGGAGCCCCCACGGGAGGGCAGGACCUGUCCUGCUGCCCCAGCACAGGGCUGGGACAGUCAUUCAGCCAUUUGCAUUAGUGAGGAGCAGCUGGGAUGCAUUUUGAAGACACAGGGUGGAAUUUUCUCCUUCCUGUGGUGUGCUGGUAGGUCUUGCUAUGCUGGAUUACCACCUUUCCUAUUUUUCUUUCAUGGCUCAUAAUCCCUUGUGUGUAACAUAAAGGUACAGCAUUUGCGUGGGCCUUUUCAUCCGAGAGUGGCAAAACACUAUUAGAAAGCUGCAACUGAAGACUAGAAGAGGCAAGCUGAAAUAACCACUUUUUGUCAAAGGAUUAGAGCCAUGAUUUCCUCAUAUUCAUCUCUGUGGUCUAACCACUGCAUGGGCUGUGGGCUGCUGACUUGAAAUUAUUCUGUUGUCCCAUAUCCAGCCUCUGCUACCAAAUUAGAUUGAGUAAGAAUCUCUGAGAGCCUUGUGGCUGCCUGGCUGAACAGUACCUGGCAAAAAGUCACAGGAAAGCUUAAAGUUUCACUUGGUUUAAAUUUGUAGGCAGAGGGAUUUCAACAAUAAGACUCAUUUUGCUUUAAAAGUGACCUGCAAAUAAUAGUUAAGGGUUUGCAAGUCUCUCUUGUUAAUUAAGAAAGUAGUAAUAAACCUCAUUUAUUUCCAGGGGAUAUUUUUGUUUGGAAUUCUUAAAAAUGUACAUAUGCUGUAAAAUGCUGUUACUAGUAGUUUUGUCCAGUGUUCCCUGAGCAGUCUAUCUGGUGUUUAUUUAAAUUUCUCAAAAUAUCAGGAGCAUGCAUAAUAUAUGCCAUCUUUUAGCAAAGGUUUCUUUUCUUCUGAUACUUAGAUUCUACAAUUACAUAAAUAUUAUUAAAAACCCCAAAAGCAAUGUGCUAUUUAAUGUCUGGUUUAAUUCGAUUUCUCAGUCUUUUCAGAUUCACUGGCAAUCAAGGAACUGAUUCCUUUAGCAAAUUUCCCAUUACUUAUUCCUAACCCGAAAGACAGAAAAAGAACAAACACACAUUUUUCUUUCUUACACUGGCAACCUUUGGGAACUUCUGUUGGAAUAACUCACACAUGAACACUAUCUGGGGGAAAAGCAGGCUUAAGACUGAUGGAAAGUGCCCAAUAUGCAGAGAAUUUGCAUUAUAAAUACUUGGUUGGUCUGAGAACUUGAGCACAGAUUUAUGACAUGCACUCUUGCAGAGGGUAAGACUGACUUGAGGUGUGUGGUACUGAAAAGCUGAUACCAACACCCUUGAAACUGGAAGGUAAAAUAAUGAUGCUUGGUUUCAAAUUAUGCAGCUUUAGGCCUUGAUAAAUACAGCAGUUCCAAGUGAAUUCAGUCUAGUAUUUUUUUUACCCAAGAUCAACUGCAGGACAAAUUCUUGCAUCAUGUUAAUGGGGUAAAGGAGAAAUACAUAUUUACUCCAUACAUCUUUCAAGCUGAACUACAGGGGGACAGAUAAAAUUGUGUGUUGUGGGUCAGAAACGUGUCCCACGCCCUGGGGAAGCCGUGCUGGAUGUGAGGGCCAAAUGCCACCCCAGGUGUCCCCAGGUGGAGGCCCAUGGAGUGACGUUCCCUGUGCGUGUGUGACUCUGCAAUGGUGGGCACUGGGGGACUGCAGACCUUUAGGGAAACCACAACUCUGCAGGAGAAAAACUGCACCUAACUCUGCUUUGAAUGUCUGUGGCAGAUAUGGAUUAGGGCAUUAUCAGGCCUUUUAAACCAUUAGCAGGAAAAAAACCCCCAAAACCUAAAAGCACCCAAACUAUCCCCCCCUGCUCUUUUCUCAGCCAGUGGAGCGUGGCAGCAGUGGGUCACCCAUGCUGCUGCCUCCUGCCCUGCUGGGCAUUUUCCAAGCUUUUGUCUGGCUGGAGCCAGGCUGCUCCCCUCUGUGCUGGUCACACAGCCACAGCAGACACCUUUCAUGGGCUGUGUCUCACUCAGCAGCUUCAGCCACCUUCUCCACUGGGGUUGGGAACGCUGCUGACUCUGCCAGCAGCUCUCCAGGGAGAGGUGUGGGCUCUGUGGUGACCUCUGCCUGAGCUUCCCUCAGUGAUCCCAAGGAAGAGCUCUGGAAUGGGACAGUUUGCAUCUGAAAUCUUCCUAAAGCCACUUGAGACAGUUCUGGAAGGGUUUAUGUGUCACAGGGCAUGUGGGGCAGGGGGCAGAGCAAGAGAGCCCCCAGAAGCCUCUUUGUUCUUUGCUUCUGUAUUCUUGAAAGCAACAUCUCACAAUGGCCUCACCACAACCCAAAUAUUUUCUUAGUGUCAGCUAGAGGUCAAAAUCUUAAUCUUAAUGUUCAAAAACUUAAUGUUCUGGGAUGUUGACCUCUUCGUACUGCUGCUAGUAAUUUAAAAUCAUACUGCUGCAUGCUCAUACUCUGUAUUUCAGCUCCAAUCUAGCAGCUGAAGAAAACCUCAAGGAAGGAAAAAAUGCUCUCUUUCAGGAAAUGCAUGUUAAGACAUUAAAGAGGUAUUUCAAUUGGACUAGCCUAGCUCAAAAAGAAACAAGAUCAUCUGGGUGGGAAUAUUUUCACCCAUUGUCUGAGGAUCAUGUCUGAACAAAGCACAUGAAGCAGGAAGCCAGUUGUCAUUUCAACAGGGUGGAUGAGUGGUCUGAACACAAAAACAGAGCCAGACAUGCCUGGUGUUGAAUGCUAGCUCAGGCUCAGCCUGGUCUGACUUUGGUAAAGUCAUUCAGCAUCUUUGUUGCUGUUUCCAGAUCGCUCACAAUGAGGUAAUAAUUCUCAUCUACUCCAAAGAGUAUUGUGAGGUAAUUAAUUCACCUGUGUAAGGCACUUCAAAGAUUAAAUUAUUAUUAUUGUUAUUAAUUUUAUAAAUUCCCAACAUGGUAUAGCUGACUUUCAUCCAUUACUUAAAACCUCUUUGAUCUAUAUAAUACAGUUGCAACUUAUUAUAUUAGCAACUAAAAGAGCAACUUCAGAUGCAACCUUAGAGGUGAAAUGUCCUGUUUCUCUCAACAUCCCCAGCCUGAUUUGUAGCUCUAACAGCUGAAAGUUAGUUCAGGAUACCUGCCAAGCACAUUUCACUGCUUGUCCCUCUGAAACUGAGUGCAAUGAAGAGAACAUGGGCCAGGCAGACAAUAUUCCCAGACUGGAAUGAGCACUGUGUCCUUGAAUGUUAUAUAUUGGUCAACCACCAGCAUCUUCCAAGAGGAUUGCAGUGCCAUGCUCCCUGACAGAAGGCUGGCUGACAAAGGAGGAAAAUUGCAUAGGCUGUCCAAGUGAGCACAACAUGAAUAUGUGACGUGGGAUGAUGUAAAAUAUGCUGCUCUGCUUUUGAAAGAAGUGAAUGACUCACAUCACAUUACCUUUUGUAGCUGGUAUAAGAUCUGGAAACUUCACAGUGACCAUUCCACCUUCUACUUAGGAAUGAGAAACUAGAUGAGUUCCUCAUGGCCCUGCUCUUCUACCUACCUUUUCACCUGGGAAAAAUUGCCCUGGAAUUACCUGGAAAAGGAAUGCAGAUCCUUGAUUUUCCCAAACCUUUUCCCCUUGGAGCCCUAAGCUGGGGAGUUUCAGUCCCUUGAUGGCUCUUGGACUCCAGACAGUUCCCACCACAGCCUGAGGUCCCUCUGGGACGUCUGCUCUACGGAUUUCUUCUCAUCAUUGGCCUCAUUGUUUCAUCUCUGUAGGGCAGCAUCACUGGAGCUCACUGUGGCAAGUUAAAAUCCUGGAUGCACACACCCCAUGGGACAGUGGAGGAGAAGAACAAGAACAAGGACGAGUGGUUCCUCUGCCUUGACAGAUGACUUCAGUUUGCCCCCCUGAGAAGCCACAGAAGAAGGCUGAGCAAUGGCAGCACUGUGCUCCAGAGAGCAGUGGCAGAAGGUGGCUGCAGUCAGAGCAGCUGUGGUGUCUGUGGGCCAGACAUGGUUUCACUCUGCUCAGUAAAUCACUUUGAAAUUGCAGCUUAAGAUGCCCCACUCAUUUGUCAGAGCUGGGGGAGUUUGACACACAGGAGACUGGGCUGGGUGACUGGAGAUCUAGGCUGUAAUUCCUGGCCCUUCAUCUUUAUGCCUUUGUCGGGCCAUUUUUGAGAAGAUUACGUUCCUGGUUGAUUUUGACAACUGCUUUGACACCUGCAGAUGAAUAUGAUUAUUGAUUUCAAUGCCAACCCUGUUUUUCUAAAGAGUUAGCAAAACAACCAGGAGACAUGACUUAGCAGAGCCAAAAAACUGGUGAAAUUUUGCUUCUGAAGGAAGCUAUUCCAGAAUCUCUAUUAUAUUGUGUUUACUUUUUUUUUUAAUUUCCUUUUUUCCUCGAUAGAAUUAACCUUAAUUAUCACUAUUUCACGUAGAAAACUAUCUGUACCUCCAAAUAUUAAAAUGUUAGCAUGGAAAUUUUAGCAAGGAAAAUUUAGGGUGAAAUCCUGACUUGGUAAUAGCGGAUAAAAAUCAGUGGAAAAAUAAUGGAUUAUUAAACAGUGGAAGAAAACCACAAGUGUAAUAUUUCAUCAUUGCUAAGAAAAUAAAUUUGACACAUCAGUGCCAGUUUGGAAGUUUUUCAGUAAAAUAGACGAAUGCUGGAUAAGAAGAAUACAAUUAUUUUACCCUUGCAAUGUGUGGUUCAGUUUUUAAAAGCAUGAAAAUGUGCAGCACCAUUAUGAUGAGAAAUGUACUUCUUCUGGAGUAACCAAUAGCCCAGGGACUGGAUUGCUUCUGUGGGAUGGCCCAGCACUGCCUGACUGAGACAGACACUGGGAGUGCAGGUUCACAGCUAAUACUUAGUCUUCUCACUUAGACUGGCACAUGUGAUAUUAAAUGCCUAAGUAGCAUUGUGGCCUAGGCUUGUUUUCCAUGUGUCAGAUGAGUUCUUUUACCAUUGGAUGAGGCUGUUGUGGCCUGCAGCUUCUCUUUAAGCUUUUCAUUAGACAUCCGUUGUGGUAUGCAGCACAAAUAUUUAAAUAUAACCUCUUAGAAAUUUUAGGGGAUGGAAACCUUCUCCCAGAGAAGAAUAAAUAUAAAAGAUAUAUUUUGAAUUGUGUGUGGAGUCUACAUCUUCAUCAUAUAAAUGGUGGUACACUCUUUAUUCUCUGAGCAAUCUGGUCUAGUGCAAGGUGUCCCUGUCCUUGGCAGGGGAGUUGGAGCUAGAUGAUCUUUAAGGUCCCUUUCAACCCAAACCAUUCUGUGAUUCUAUUCAAAAUUAACAUUUCUAGGUUAUACCUUCCCUCCAGGCAGACAGGUUAGUGAUCACAUGAUCUGAAAAAUGGUGGUGUGAUGCCAGUUUUUGGCUUCUUUUUUCUUCCUCUGUUGAGUCAGGAUUGAAGCUCUCAAGAUGAUAUUUCGCAUUUAGGCUUAGGUGUUUAUUACUUCUUAUCUAUAUUACAAGUUGUGAGUUUUACAGCUUUCUACUAACAAGCUACAAAAUGGCUGUCUCUUGUUACAAGGUCUUUUAAUGCUAAACUAUCCAAUUAAGAAAUGACACCUAAAUUAUUUUCACUUUUAAGCCAAUAACUGAUCACUCGAAGUCUGCAAUGCAGACUUUUCUAUCCAUUUACAAAAUACCAGCCAUGAAGAAGGAAAAAGAAGGUAAAGAAGAACAACCAGAAGGUAAAGAAGAACAACCAGAAGGUAAAGAAGAACAACCACUGCCCUAAAACCUCCAUCUUGCCCCAUGAAUAUUGCUAUAUUCUAAAACCUUAAACUCUAAGUCUUCAACCCAGUGGUAUUACACACUUCCAAUCAAACUACACACCCAUAAUCCCAGUGCUAUCAAUCAAUUUUGGAAGCCUUCUCCACAGCUUCAGAUCAAAUAUAGUAUUUUCUUGUGGGUCUGUGCCCUUCAGCACAGAAAGUUUAAAAUUCUCAGCAUCCAAUGCUCCAACAGUGAGACCUUAAGAAGGGGCUUUAGCUGCAGAUUUUCUGGGUCAAAGCACGUGUGAGUGUCUUUCCCAGCUGCAUGGGUGACUCCUGGAAGGUGCACACCUGGCGGGACACGCAGGAGGCAGCUGUGCUAUCGCUGCCCUGUGGCAGCACGGUUUCCCUCCAUGGUGCAGAAAGAUCUUGGCCAAUACCUGGUGCUGAGGAAGGCUAUGGAACAUCUUCCCCUCUUAGUCCUGGGAGAAACCUGUCAGCUCCUGCAUGAGGAAUCCUCUGUGUGCCAAAGGACGGGUGCAGCUGUGUCCCUCUAGCUGCAGGACAGGGCUCUCUGUGACCCGUGGGUUGACAUCCCAGCAGGCUUGUCCUUGCAAAGGCGCCUUGCUUUGUCACGGCACGGCGACAGACAGUGCAUGGAGCCUUCAAAAGGCUACAAGGGCAAGGUGUCCUUUGGCACCUGUCUGCAGGGCAAUGCAGACUGUGGUUCACAGGCUCCUCGAGGGAGCAGCCCCAUGAAAUAGUGAGCAACAAGGGACUGCUUUUUUCAUGCCAUUUUCCUUGGGCAAAAGGCAGCUCUAGACCAGGCAGGGUCUCAGUUACUUCUGUCUGCACCUAGAACUCCACAGGAGUUACCUGGUGGGUUUGGAGCAGCAGCCUAUGAAGGCAGCACCCACUGUGCUCAGCAGGUUCUUUGUGAGCCAGCAUGGCAAGACCUGGAUGUCCUGCAGGUUCCCUGUCUCCAGUCUGUCUGGUUCAGACUGUUCUUCUUGUCCUGUUAGGGGCCAGUACCUGAUAUACAUGGAAUGCCAAGGUACUCUGAACAGCACAUUUUUCUUCUGUGCAGACUAAAACCAGCAUUUCAUCAGCAAAUAACAGUUUUUGUCCAUUUUUGCUUGUAAUCAUAGAGACAUUUUAGUGGUGCUAAGCUCUAGUGAGACCAGUGAAUGAACACUUCUAUAGGUGUUAAGGAAUGUGGCUUUUGUCCUUAAAAAUGGGGACUCACUGGGUGCUGCAGCAAAGAUGCCACCGUGUUUCCUGAUCCCACUAGUGUUUCCUCCCCACCAGGGGGGGAAAUAUUGUUUAGCUCAUGCAUUUAGUUCCCCACACAGAUGGACAAAGCAGUCUUUGACAAAGGUGCUUCUUACUGCUCCUGUUUAUCCUGUGGUUUGUCUCCCUUACCCUCUCAAAGACAGAACUGCACCAACCAACCAACCAACCAACCAACCAACCAACCAACCAUCCUCACUCAAGGAGGACCAUUAGCAGCUCCUUUGUACAGACACAGCUGCACCAUCACCUCACUUGCUCCUCACCUGGGAAUGGGUGUGUUUGCUUGUAUUGCUUUUUUCCUGCAGGUGUACUGCGGGAAAGAGCAGCAGUCAAACUGGAAACUGGAUCAGGCAAGUGAUUUGCUGCAGGAAGAGAGAUUGUCAGUCUGGAUUUCCUUAAAAUCUGGAUUUCCUUUCUGGAUUUUCCUGCUUCCAAAUGUUGGUGAUGUGUGCUCCUGUGCUGGCUGGGACUAAGACCUUCAUUUUUUAAAGAAACUGCACUGGAAGGACAAAACACAAAUUAGCUGCACCUUCUGUGGCUCAAACUGAAUUGUAAAUAUCUGCAGUGAGAUUUUUACAGCUUGAAGGAAAGAAACCAAACUGCAAUUUGAAGAAUUUCAAGGUGCUCUUUUACUAAUUAUUCUUCUAUGUGAAAGAGAUCAUACUAAGGCUCAAGAAACAGGCUGUAAGUAUGCCAUUGCCUGUCACAGCCUUUCUAUUUGGAAAAGGCAAUGCUCGUGUAAAUGUAGUGUAUUUCUGCCUGUGAUCUUGUUAUUUGCAGAAGAAUAAACAGUGUUUUCCCCUUUCCUUGAAUACAGCAGAAACAAACACAAACAAUUCACUUCUGGACAUAAAUUCCCAAGUCUGCUGGUCCUGACGAGGUCUGACCUCAGAUGGGUUCCCUUCUGUUGGUUCCUUCCUUUUUUCUCUCCUAUCUGAAGCCAACAAAAGCACAUCAGCCAUGACUGCAUCUGGGCAAGCAGGGAAGUCCUUGACUUUGUGAAGGAAAUGGAAACUAGAUCUUUGAGAGGCCUUCCAUUGUUCAUCUGUCUUUAAUACAUUGGAAAAGAAUAGUAUUUCUUUCUGCUGAACCUGACUGAGUAUGCAUGACGUGUUUGUAACUAUAAUGGGAUGUGUGGGGAUGUGGAUUAAAGCCUUGCCCCAAGGCUAUUAUUAUAAUUUUUCAGAGUAAUAAUCAAGAGAUGAAGGUGCACCAUCUAAUUUAGGUGUUUCAGCAAGUCACAUUGAGACGGUGCCUGGAUCUCCAUAUUGAUUGGAAUGGGAGACACAGUAUUCACAGUAUUGCAGACCUGGACAGGCAGGGUACUGACCACCCAUUGCUCCUUUGUACUUAGGCACUGCCAGAGCUCUGACAGCUGAAGUGCUGUGAUGGGGGAAUAUUUUAGAAGGAGGAGGGUGAGAUGUGAAAGGCAGUUAUGCUCUGCACAGAGAGGAGCAGCCCAGAUACAUGGAAUUCUGCUAUGGAGCAGAGGGAAGCCAGCACUGGGAACAUCGUGGUCAGCAUUUGCUACAGAUCAGCUGGCCAAGAACACAAAACAGAUGAAGCCUUCUCUCUCUAGUGGAAGAAGUCUCACUGUCUCAUGCUCUAGCUUUUGUAAGAUUUACUGCCUGAUCUAAAAUCUGGUGAGCAGGAAACACAGUAGGUCAAGAAAUCCAGAUUUCUGGAGUGGGUCAGGGAUGAUUUCUUGGCACAGGUGCUGGCCAUGCUGAGAAGGGAAUGUUCUGAUUGAUUUGCUACUCACAAACAAAGAAGUAAUGGUUGGGGUUGUGAUGGUCAAUGGCAGCCUUGGAGAGAUCAAGAAGUGGUAGAAUUUAAGACUAUGAGAAAGCAGAGAUAGGUGAGUAGCAGAAAAAUGACCCUCAGAACACCAGACUUUGGCUUGCUCAGGAAACUAGCAAGCAGCUUGUCAUGGGAUAUUGCUGGGAAGAGUAAAGGGACGUUUAGGGUGGAUGAUCUUCAAGGGCCAUCUCCUCAAAGACUGGGCAUGAUCCCUACUGUCAUGCAGGAGCUUAAGAAAGCAGUGCAUGAGGCCAGGGUGUACAGAGAACUACUGACUCAUGCAUAAAAAGAAAACACAUAAUAGGGGGAAGCAGGGACAGGCAAUCAAGGAGCAGUGCAGAACUACACAGGAUGGGAUUAAGAAAACCAAAACUGGGCUUGAGCUGAUAGCUGGUGAUGACGGGAAGAGCAACAGGAAGGGCUUCUACAGGUACAUUAGUAGUGAAAGGAAGAACAAGAAAAUUCCACUGCUGAAUUUCCUGGAAAUGUGCCUUAAAUUGUGCAAUGUUGAAUGCAGCAUGUCCUAAAUGCCACAGAGCCCCCACAUUACCCAUGUGACAUGGAGACCUAAAUGAGAGGGUGGUGGUAGUAGUAGUGGUCCAGGAACCAGAGCUGCCAGGAAGGUCUCUAACCUGUGGUUGUGAGGAUUACAGGGUUUCAGCAGCACUCUGCUGCUCCACUCUAAUCUGCCACUCUUCAGGUGUGCUGUAGGUGCUGCAGGACUUCCUGUCCUGAACCAACCUGUGCUCACUCAAGGUGUUGGUGAAGGACUUCAUGAGCCCCUAACAGAUCUAGUAAGAGUCCCAGGUGGGCUGAGACCUCUCUGAAACUGAAUUUAUGUCAAGAUGAUCAACUCUGGGUGCUGAUAGUGGAUCUGUUCUUGUCCCACUGAGCUGGCAGAGGUUACACUGGCAGCAGAGUGCACUGAAGGACUUGCUGCUUAGGAGUUAGCAGCAGACAAGCUCUCUGAAACACACCCCAAGCAGACCUUGGAUUUCUUGUUCUGCUUUUACUUUGUCCCUGAACAGAUAUUGCACAGUCGCUGGUUCAGCAGUUUCAUAUGCACAGAAGGGCUGCCAUAACUGCUUCAGAAUUAAUUUGGGUUUAAUCAGUGUUUUGGACAUGUUAACAUUUUUUAUUUCAACACUAUUGCAGAAGAGUUUUGCUGGAGGCUACUUAAUCCUCUGGAGACUUCUGGCUGGAAGCAUGAACAGAUUUUCCAGGCCUGAAGCAGCAGAUGUGUAUCUGGACAAGCAAGACAUUGCAUCCCCUGCUGACUGACUACAUGGAGCCAUGAAUGUCCUGGAGCAAAACUCACAGUAUUUCUGAACCAUCUCUGUGGAUGAUGAAAUCUGGUGGAGCAAAACCCAAUAAGAACUGAGCCUAAUGCUGUAGUGAGGAUGUAACUUUAAGCAGGACAAAGUUGCAUGUGCCUGUAAGAAAUGAAAUGGACAAUUUAGAUAAUCUCUUUGAAGAGUAGCACUUCUUCUUAAUGUUGAGUCUGAACUAUUGGUUAAUGACAGUCCAAAUGUCCCAGGUAUAAUUUUUCAGCAAAAGUUGUGUGACUACAGAAAGGUGAGAAACCUAGCUGAGAGCAUAUCUGCACUGAAAUAAUUGCUUUCUGUGCUAUUCUAAUUUCAUUUCCAAAGAGGCCUUGAUUGCUGUGUUACUAUCCCCUUGGCAUGAGUAGAACUAUAUUCCUUUUUAAUUUUUGACCUUCCCUUCACAGUCUGAAAUACCUGACUGUUGUGACUAGAAUACCACUAAAGAGGGGAUGUUCUCUUCAAAGGGAAAACUGAUGUACUAUACUGAGCAGAAGGUUGGUAACAAAGCAGAGAAGUCAGGUAAAAAUCCAAGAAUCCAGCUUUAAUAUCAUGAGGAAUUUACUGCUUAAAAGGGCUUACCUGUAAUACAAUAACUAAUGCAGGAUAAGAAUUGUCUUUCUUUCAUUAUUUUGUAAUUGAAAAGGUUGUUAAAAGAUUAAUUUCAAAAUAAACAUUGCUGUACCAGGGUUGAGCAAAGCAGAUUAAUUGGCUUUGAGUUCUGGAUUUCUUGAGAAUGUUCUACUUUAAAAUAGAACAAACAAAGAAAAAAUGAAUCAGUGGAAUAGUAGCUUU